GAAGGUGGCAAGCGUUGUUCGGAAUCAUUGGGCUUAAAGCGCGCGUAGGCGGACUGGAAAGUGUCUUGUGAAAACCCUCGGCUUAACCGAGGAAUUGCUUGGCAAACUUCUAGUCUUGAGGCAAGUAGGGGUACAUGGAACUCUUGGUGGAGCGGUGGAAUGCGUAGAUAUCAAGAGGAACGCCAAUGGUGAAGACAGUGUACUGGGCUUGUACUGACGCUGAGGUGCGAAAGCGUGGGGGAGCGAACGGGAUUAGAUACCCCGGUAGUCCACGCCGUAAACGAUGUCUACUAGAUCGUGGGAGUUCUGACACUUUCACGGUCGAAGCAAAAGUGAUAAGUAGACCGCCUGGGGAGUACGGUCGCAAGGCUA
RNAcentral lists this ribosomal RNA (372 nucleotides) under uncultured organism. RNAcentral describes it as "partial 16S ribosomal RNA". It matches the Rfam family "Bacterial small subunit ribosomal RNA", at positions 527 to 896 of the family's 1533-position model. The record is from RNAcentral.